This is a small nuclear RNA of Grammomys surdaster, 104 nucleotides long. NCBI's taxonomy places the organism in Eukaryota, Metazoa, Chordata, Mammalia, Rodentia, Muridae. The record is from RefSeq and is a predicted model, not a curated record.
GUUCCUUCAGCAGUACAUAUAGCAAAAUUGAAAUGAUACAGAACAGAUUAGUAGUGUCCCUGUGCAAGGAUGAAAGGCCAACUCAUGAAGUACUCCAUAUUUUU